RNAcentral lists this ribosomal RNA (277 nucleotides) under uncultured bacterium. RNAcentral describes it as "partial 16S ribosomal RNA". It matches the Rfam family "Bacterial small subunit ribosomal RNA", at positions 30 to 301 of the family's 1533-position model. The record is from RNAcentral.
AUUGAACGCUGGCGGCAGGCCUAACACAUGCAAGUCGAACGGUAACAGGAAACAGCUUGCUGUUUCGCUGACGAGUGGCGGACGGGUGAGUAAUGUCUGGGAAACUGCCUGAUGGAGGGGGAUAACUACUGGAAACGGUAGCUAAUACCGCAUAACGUCGCAAGACCAAAGAGGGGGACCUUCGGGCCUCUUGCCAUCGGAUGUGCCCAGAUGGGAUUAGCUAGUAGGUGGGGUAACGGCUCACCUAGGCGACGAUCCCUAGCUGGUCUGAGAGGAU